CGCCACCUGCGGUGUUCGUGAUUUUCCGUAGACGCCUUAGAACCUAAUAUUACAUAUUGGGGACCACUAUUGUAGGCACUGUUGUGCACGUCCGGGUCAACCGGAAAGCCUGAUGUUCCUCGUAGGUCCCCACUUGAACCGUCUGGUUCAAGGUAGACGGGGUUCACGGCACAGGUGGGGGGCGC
RNAcentral lists this non-coding RNA (185 nucleotides) under Acidiferrobacteraceae bacterium. RNAcentral describes it as "6S RNA". It matches the Rfam family "6S / SsrS RNA". Rfam says of the family: E. coli 6S RNA was the first non coding RNA to be sequenced, but its function was unknown until recently. The record is from RNAcentral. Lineage: Bacteria; Pseudomonadati; Pseudomonadota; Gammaproteobacteria; Acidiferrobacterales; Acidiferrobacteraceae.